UUUAGCAGCCAUAUCACCCUGUAGUACACACCUUUAGAUUAACUGAAGCUAAGCAGGGUUGAGCCUGGUCAGUACCUGGAUGGGAGACCUCCAGAGAAAACUAGGUUGCUGUUGGAA
This 117-nucleotide ribosomal RNA is filed under the name Sinocyclocheilus anshuiensis. Lineage: Eukaryota; Metazoa; Chordata; Actinopteri; Cypriniformes; Cyprinidae. The record is from RNAcentral.